AAUGAACGCUGGCGGCAGGCCUAACACAUGCAAGUCGAACGGGUCCUUCGGGACUAGUGGCGGACGGGUGAGUAACGCGUGGGAACGUGCCCCUUGGUACGGAAUAGCCCCGGGAAACUGGGAGUAAUACCGUAUGUGGUCGAGAGACGAAAGAUUUAUCGCCAAGGGAUCGGCCCGCGUUGGAUUAGGUAGUUGGUGGGGUAAUGGCCUACCAAGCCGACGAUCCAUAGCUGGUUUGAGAGGAUGAUCAGCCACACUGGGACUGAGACACGGCCCAGACUCCUACGGGAGGCAGCAGUGGGGAAUCUUAGACAAUGGGGGAAACCCGUGAUCUAGCCAUGCCGCGUGAUCGAUGAAGGCCUUAGGGUUGUAAAGAUCUUUCAGGUGGGAAGAUAAUGACUGUACCACCAGAAGAAGCCCCGGCUAACUCCGUG
This 434-nucleotide ribosomal RNA is filed under the name uncultured bacterium. RNAcentral describes it as "bacterial SSU rRNA". It matches the Rfam family "Bacterial small subunit ribosomal RNA", at positions 29 to 507 of the family's 1533-position model. The record is from RNAcentral.